GUGCUGAAACCUGCAUUAUAAACUGGGUGGUUCUUCUUUACACUGUUAAGUGGUGCUGAAACCUGCAUUAUAAACUGGGUGGUUCUUCUUUACACUGUUAAGUGGUGCUGAAACCUGCAUUAUAAACUGGGGGUUCCAGGUUCAUCAUGAGUGAGACAUUAAAUUCAUAAUAGUUCUUAUCUCUGAUUGAUCAAUAGAAGUAAUUCAUACUAAGAUCUAAGAUCAGAUCACAGUUUCUAACUAUUUACUGUGUUGUUUCCUCUGGUGUUUUUCAAGCUAGGGGCUCUACCCCAUCCUCCUCUCCUCCCAAAGCCCUCCCCCCUCUCUCUCCUCCUCUCUCUGUCUGUCUCUGGGUUGGUGGCUGCUCUCUCCAUCUCUCUGAUCAUUCUACUGGUCCUGUUCUGCAAGAGGAACAAAGAUGUAGCUGCUGAACCCAGAGAUGUUACGUAUGCUGAUGUUAGAAUCACACAGGACCCAGAACACAGGAGAAGGAGAGGUACACACACACACACACACACACACAUAGCUGCUGAACCCAGAGAUGUUACGUAUGCUGACGUUAGAAUCACACAGGACCCAGAACACAGGAGAAGGAGAGGUACACACACACACACACACACACACACACAUAGCUGCUGAACCCAGAGAUGUUACGUAUGCUGAUGUCAGAAUCACACAGGACCCAGAACCCAGGAGAAGGAGAGGUACACACACACACACACAUAGCUGCUGAACCCAGAGAUGUUGCGUAUGCUGAUGUCAGAAUCACACAGGACCCAGAACCCAGGAGAAGGAGAGGUACACACACACACACACAUAGCUGCUGAACCCAGAGAUGUUACGUAUGCUGAUGUCAGAAUCACACAGGACCCAGAACCCAGGAGAAGGAGAGAGAAGUCUCCAGGAGCUGAUCCAGUCUACUCUGCAGUGAAGACCUCCAACACCACAGUUCCAGGUGGAUCUGGUCCAGGUGAUGUGACCUAUGCUGACAUCAACCACACAGAGAAGAGACAACACAACAGGAGGAGAGAGAAGGUCGUUCCAGACCCUGUCUACUCAGCAGUGAAGACAGAGAGAGAUACAGGUCAAAAGGUCGUUCCAGACCCUGUCUACUCAGCGGUGAAGACAGACAGACAGACAG
This is a long non-coding RNA of Oncorhynchus tshawytscha (Chinook salmon), 1141 nucleotides long. The record is from Ensembl. NCBI's taxonomy places the organism in Eukaryota, Metazoa, Chordata, Actinopteri, Salmoniformes, Salmonidae.